This 205-nucleotide ribosomal RNA is filed under the name uncultured bacterium. RNAcentral's name for it is "partial 16S ribosomal RNA". It matches the Rfam family "Bacterial small subunit ribosomal RNA", at positions 377 to 579 of the family's 1533-position model. The record is from RNAcentral.
GGAAGCCUGAACCAGCCAUCCCGCGUGCAGGAAGACAGCCCUAUGGGUUGUAAACUGCUUUUCCAGUGGUCGAAACACUCUUACGUGUACAGGAUUGACGGUCCACUGGGAAUAAGCAUCGGCUAACUCCUUGCAAGUAGCCGCGGUAAUACGGAGGAUGCGAGAGUUAUACGGCUUUAUUUGGUUUAAAGGGUGCGUAGGCGGA